Long non-coding RNA from Oncorhynchus tshawytscha (Chinook salmon), 632 nucleotides. The record is from Ensembl. NCBI's taxonomy places the organism in Eukaryota, Metazoa, Chordata, Actinopteri, Salmoniformes, Salmonidae.
AGGUAAGGUAUGGUGGGGUGAGGUGAGGUACGGUACGGUGGGGUGAGGUAAGGUACAGUGUGGUGAGGUGAGGUAUGGUGGGGUGAGAGGAGGUAAGGUAUGGUGGGGUGAGGUAAGGUAUAGUGGGGCGAGAGGAGGUAAGGUAUGGUGGGGUGAGGUAAGGUAUGGUGGGGUGGGGUGAGGCGAGGUACGGUGGGGUGAGGUGAGGUAAGGUAUAGUGGGGUGAGUUAAGGUAUGGUGAGGUGAGUUAAGGUAUGGUGGGGUGAGGUAAGGUGGGGUGAGGUUAGGUAUGGUGGGGUGAGUUAAGGAAUGGUGGGGUGAGUUAAGGUAUGGUGGGGUGAGGUGAGGUAUGGUGGGGUGAGUUAAGGUAUGGUGGGGUGAGCUAAGGUAUGGUGGGGUGAGGUGAGGUGAAGUAAGGUGAGGUGAGGUGAUUAGAGGUGUGGUAGGGUGAGGUGAGGUAAGGUACAGUGGAUUGAGAUGAGGUGAGGUGAGGUAACGUAUGGUGGGGUGAGGUGAUUAGAGGUGUGAUAGGGUGAGGUGAGGUAAGGUAUGGUGGGGUGAGGUAAGGUAUGGUGGGGUGAGAUAGGGUAUGGUGGGGUGAGUUAACAUAUGGUGGGGUGAGGUGAGGUAAG